UGGGGAAUAUUGGACAAUGGGCGAAAGCCUGAUCCAGCAAUGCCGCGUGUGUGAAGAAGGCCUGCGGGUUGUAAAGCACUUUUGCCAGGGAAGCACAGUGAGGCGCUAAUACCGUUUCACACUGACGGUACCUGGAGAAUAAGCACCGGCUAACUUCGUGCCAGCAGCCGCGGUAAUACGAAGGGUGCAAGCGUUAAUCGGAAUUACUGGGCGUAAAGCGUGCGUAGGCGGCGCGUUAAGCCUGAUGUGAAAUCCCUGGGCUCAACCUGGGAAUGGCAUCGGGGACUGGCGGGCUAGAGUUUGGGAGAGGGUGGUGGAAUUCCCGGUGUAGCGGUGAAAUGCGUAGAGAUCGGGAGGAACAUCUGUGGCGAAGGCGGCCACCUGGCCUGAAACUGACGCUGAGGCACGAAAGCGUGGGGAGCAAACAGGAUUAGAUACCCCCGUAGUCC
RNAcentral lists this ribosomal RNA (449 nucleotides) under uncultured prokaryote. RNAcentral's name for it is "bacterial SSU rRNA". It matches the Rfam family "Bacterial small subunit ribosomal RNA", at positions 355 to 796 of the family's 1533-position model. The record is from RNAcentral.